This 467-nucleotide ribosomal RNA is filed under the name uncultured bacterium. RNAcentral's name for it is "partial 16S ribosomal RNA". It matches the Rfam family "Bacterial small subunit ribosomal RNA", at positions 28 to 506 of the family's 1533-position model. The record is from RNAcentral.
GACGAACGCUGGCGGCGUGCUUAACACAUGCAAGUCGAACGGAAAGGCCCUGCUUUUGUGGGGUGCUCGAGUGGCGAACGGGUGAGUAACACGUGAGUAACCUGCCCUUGACUUUGGGAUAACUUCAGGAAACUGGGGCUAAUACCGGAUAGGAGCUCCUGCUGCAUGGUGGGGGUUGGAAAGUUUCGGCGGUUGGGGAUGGACUCGCGGCUUAUCAGCUUGUUGGUGGGGUAGUGGCUUACCAAGGCUUUGACGGGUAGCCGGCCUGAGAGGGUGACCGGCCACAUUGGGACUGAGAUACGGCCCAGACUCCUACGGGAGGCAACAGUGGGGAAUAUUGCACAAUGGGCGGAAGCAUGAUGCAGCAACGCCGCGUGCGGGAUGACGGCCUUCGGGUGGUAAACCGCUUUCGCCUGUGACGAAGCGUGAGUGACGGUAAUGGGGAAAGAAGCACCGGCUAACUACGU